CCUACGGGGGGCAGCAGUGGGGAAUAUUGGGCAAUGGGCGCAAGCCUGACCCAGCAACGCCGCGUGAAGGAAGAAGGCUUUCGGGUUGUAAACUUCUUUUGACAGGGAAGAGUAGAAGACGGUACCUGUCGAAUAAGCCACGGCUAACUACGUGCCAGCAGCCGCGGUAAUACGUAGGUGGCAAGCGUUGUCCGGAUUUACUGGGUGUAAAGGGCGUGUAGCCGGGUUGACAAGUCAGAUGUGAAAUCCUGCGGCUUAACCGUAGAACUGCAUUUGAAACUGUUGAUCUUGAGUACUGGAGAGGCAGACGGAAUUCCUAGUGUAGCGGUGAAAUGCGUAGAUAUUAGGCAGAACACCAGUGGCGAAGGCAGUCUGCUGGACAGCAACUGACGGUGAGGCGCGAAAGCGUGGGGAGCAAACAGGAUUAGAUACCCUUGUAGUC
Molecule: ribosomal RNA, 442 nt
Filed under: uncultured bacterium
Lineage: Bacteria
Description: partial 16S ribosomal RNA
Rfam family: Bacterial small subunit ribosomal RNA
Source: RNAcentral